This 828-nucleotide ribosomal RNA is filed under the name Penicillifer diparietisporus. RNAcentral's name for it is "eukaryotic LSU rRNA". It matches the Rfam family "Eukaryotic large subunit ribosomal RNA", at positions 74 to 935 of the family's 3401-position model. Lineage: Eukaryota; Fungi; Ascomycota; Sordariomycetes; Hypocreales; Nectriaceae. The record is from RNAcentral.
AUUGCCCUAGUAACGGCGAGUGAAGCGGCAACAGCUCAAAUUUGAAAUCUGGCCCUCGGGUCCGAGUUGUAAUUUGUAGAGGAUGCUUUUGGUGCGGCGCCUUCCGAGUUCCCUGGAACGGGACGCCAUAGAGGGUGAGAGCCCCGUCUGGUUGGACGCCAAUCCUCUGUAAAGCUCCUUCGACGAGUCGAGUAGUUUGGGAAUGCUGCUCUAAAUGGGAGGUAUAUGUCUUCUAAAGCUAAAUACCGGCCAGAGACCGAUAGCGCACAAGUAGAGUGAUCGAAAGAUGAAAAGCACUUUGAAAAGAGAGUUAAAAAGUACGUGAAAUUGUUGAAAGGGAAGCGCUUGUGACCAGACUUGGGCUUGGUUGAUCAUCCAGGGUUCUCCCCGGUGCACUCUUCCAGCCCAGGCCAGCAUCAGUUCGCCGCGGGGGACAAAAGCUUCGGGAAUGUGGCUCCCUCGGGAGUGUUAUAGCCCGCUGCGCAAUACCCUGCGGCGGACUGAGGUUCGCGCUCCGCAAGGAUGCUGGCGUAAUGGUCACCAGUGACCCGUCUUGAAACACGGACCAAGGAGUCGUCUUCGUAUGCGAGUGUUCGGGUGUUAAACCCCUACGCGGAAUGAAAGUGAACGCAGGUGAGAGCUUCGGCGCAUCACCGACCGAUCCUGAUGUUCUCGGAUGGAUUUGAGUAAGAGCAUACGGGGCCGGACCCGAAAGAAGGUGAACUAUGCCUGUAUAGGGUGAAGCCAGAGGAAACUCUGGUGGAGGCUCGCAGCGGUUCUGACGUGCAAAUCGAUCGUCAAAUAUGGGCAUGGGGGCGAAAGACUAAU